RNAcentral lists this ribosomal RNA (450 nucleotides) under uncultured Glomeromycotina. RNAcentral's name for it is "SSU rRNA". It matches the Rfam family "Eukaryotic small subunit ribosomal RNA", at positions 569 to 1022 of the family's 1831-position model. The record is from RNAcentral. Lineage: Eukaryota; Fungi; Glomeromycota.
AGCAGCCGCGGUAACUCCAGCUCCAAUAGCGUAUAUUAAAGUUGUUGCAGUUAAAAAAGCUCGUAGUUGAAUUUCGAGAUCAAUAUGUUGGUCGUGCCUCGGUACGUACUUGCAUCAUUGAUUUCUCCCUUCUGAUGAACCAUGAUGCCAUUAAUUUGGUGUCUUGGGGAAUCAGGACUGUUACUUUGAAAAAAUUAGAGUGUUUAAAGCAGGCUCACGCUUGAAUACAUUAGCAUGGAAUAAUGAAAUAGGACGUUUGAUUCUAUUUUGUUGGUUUCUAGGAUCGACGUAAUGAUUAAUAGGGAUAGUUGGGGGCAUUAGUAUUCAAUUGUCAGAGGUGAAAUUCUUGGAUUUAUUGAAGACUAACUACUGCGAAAGCAUUUGCCAAGGAUGUUUUCAUUAAUCAAGAACGAAAGUUAAGGGGAUCGAAGACGAUCAGAUACCGUCGUA